ACGUACACUCCUACGGGAGGCAGCAGUGAGGAAUAUUGGACAAUGGGUGGAAGCCUGAUCCAGCCAUCCCGCGUGCAGGAAGACGGCCCUAUGGGUUGUAAACUGCUUUUAUCUGGGGAUAAACCUACUUACGUGUAAGUAGCUGAAGGUACCAGAAGAAUAAGCACCGGCUAACUCCGUGCCAGCAGCCGCGGUAAUACGGAGGGUGCAAGCGUUAUCCGGAUUUAUUGGGUUUAAAGGGUCCGUAGGCGGACUGAUAAGUCAGUGGUGAAAUCCGACAGCUUAACUGUCGAACUGCCAUUGAUACUGUUAGUCUUGAGUAAGGUUGAAGUGGCUGGAAUAAGUAGUGUAGCGGUGAAAUGCAUAGAUAUUACUUAGAACACCAAUUGCGAAGGCAGGUCACUAAGUCUUAACUGACGCUGAUGGACGAAAGCGUGGGGAGCGAACAGGAUUAGAAACCCGUGUAGUCC
This 470-nucleotide ribosomal RNA is filed under the name uncultured organism. RNAcentral describes it as "partial 16S ribosomal RNA". It matches the Rfam family "Bacterial small subunit ribosomal RNA", at positions 329 to 796 of the family's 1533-position model. The record is from RNAcentral.